GUUGAUAGGGUGUCUGGUGUGCAUAUCGGUUUUUCGUGUCGGGGGUGGCUUGUUGGGUCUGUCAAUA
RNAcentral lists this transfer RNA (67 nucleotides) under Brachycladium goliath. Its description in RNAcentral is "tRNA-Glu". Lineage: Eukaryota; Metazoa; Platyhelminthes; Trematoda; Plagiorchiida; Brachycladiidae. The record is from RNAcentral.